GGCGGUUCUCAGGUGAUGCACCUUGGAAUCAGUCUCCCUCCUUUCUGGUUCGGGUGAGUCACCAGAGAACUGCA
Molecule: non-coding RNA, 74 nt
Organism: Myotis brandtii (Brandt's bat)
Lineage: Eukaryota; Metazoa; Chordata; Mammalia; Chiroptera; Vespertilionidae
Source: Rfam